AGAGUUUGAUUCUGGCUCAGAUUGAACGCUGGCGGCAUGCUUUACACAUGCAAGUCGAGCGGCAGCGCGGGAGCAAUCCUGGCGGCGAGCGGCGAACGGGUGAGGAAUACAUCGGAACGUGUCCCGUAGAGGGGGAUAACCCGGCGAAAGCCGGGCUAAUACCGCAUAUGCUCUAUGGAGGAAAGCGGGGGACUUCGCAAGAGGCCUCGCGCUAUGGGAGCGGCCGAUGUCCGAUUAGCUAGUUGGUGAGGUAAAGGCUUACCAAGGCGACGAUCGGUAGCUGGUCUGAGAGGAUGAUCAGCCACACUGGGACUGAGACACGGCCCAGACUCCUACGGGAGGCAGCAGUGGGGAAUUUUGGACAAUGGGGGCAACCCUGAUCCAGCCAUGCCGCGUGCGGGAAGAAGGCCUUCGGGUUGUAAACCGCUUUUGGUCGGGACGAAAGGGUUUCCUUGAAUAGGGGAGAUCUGUGACGGUACCGGCAGAAUAAGCACCGGCUAACUACGUGCCAGCAGCCGCGGUAAUACGUAGGGUGCGAGCGUUAAUCGGAAUUACUGGGCGUAAAGCGUGCGUAGGCGGUUCGUUAUGUCCGUUGUGAAAGCCCCGGGCUCAACCUGGGAAUGGCAAUGGAAACUGGCGGGCUUGAGUAUGGCAGAGGGGGGUGGAAUUCCGCGUGUAGCAGUGAAAUGCGUAGAGAUGCGGANNAACACCGAUGGCGAAGGCAGCCCCCUGGGCUAAUACUGACGCUGNNNCACGAAAGCGUGGGGAGCAAACAGGAUU
Molecule: ribosomal RNA, 780 nt
Filed under: uncultured bacterium
Lineage: Bacteria
Description: bacterial SSU rRNA
Rfam family: Bacterial small subunit ribosomal RNA
Source: RNAcentral